UCAGUAAGAGCGGGCGGGGCCAUUUCUAAAUUUUAUGUGUGACGCUUCCAGCUAUUUUUAGCUGUACAAAACAGCUCGUUUUGCGGCUUGGAAUUGCAAACUGCGGCUCAUGAACCGGAAGUCUUGCCCAUUCACAGAAGCGUUGAAAAAGAGCAUUAAUGUCCUGGAAGUAAGGCACUCGCAUUUCAACGGGCAAACACCUCUUUG
Molecule: long non-coding RNA, 207 nt
Organism: Sinocyclocheilus anshuiensis
Lineage: Eukaryota; Metazoa; Chordata; Actinopteri; Cypriniformes; Cyprinidae
Exons: 3
Source: RefSeq, a predicted model, not a curated record